CAGCAAUCCAUCAGUGUCUCAGGAGAACUGGCCUUACCGAUCCUGACCUGUGUUCUCUUACUUGGAAAUAAGGUAAUUCCUUAAAAAGGUCAGCUGUCAUCAGAAAUAUGAAGAGCAUCCUGAGACAACAUGGCUGGGGAGACUGGAUCUGCGUCCUUGGUUUUCCAUCUUAAAAGAAUAUGACACCAAAAAGAAAAGGAACACCAG
Fukomys damarensis (Damara mole-rat) is the source of this 207-nucleotide long non-coding RNA. RefSeq lists it as uncharacterized. The record is from RefSeq and is a predicted model, not a curated record. NCBI's taxonomy places the organism in Eukaryota, Metazoa, Chordata, Mammalia, Rodentia, Bathyergidae. The transcript is spliced from 2 exons.